Molecule: non-coding RNA, 122 nt
Organism: Pelobates cultripes (western spadefoot toad)
Lineage: Eukaryota; Metazoa; Chordata; Amphibia; Anura; Pelobatidae
Source: the annotation of a GenBank genome assembly
AGCAGGACAGUAGGUCCCCCCCUCCACAUUCUUAUUUCUGGCCCCCACUCCUGUGCGACGGGUGGGGGCCCGAAAUAAGAAUGUGGAGGGGGGGGACCUACUGUCCUACCCCCAAAACCCCA